AUUUAAGUUAAGAGUUGGUUUGUUGUGAGGCUGGAAAGAUUUGUAGGUUGGUGGUCCACUUGUUAGCCAUUUGAGGUGUAUUUUAAGAUGUACAUAUUGAUGGCGAUCAAAUGGACGGUUGAAAAGAAGAUAUUGUUAAACGUAUAGCAAAAUCCGAUGGUUUGUGCCAUUGGGUAAGUGUAAUCUUUGGGCUAUGGCCCACUCUAUAUUAAUGAAAUUUUAUUCUUGUGUGUCCUUUCUUUUUUACUCUCGUUUUCUUUAUCAAUGUACCUAUUUUUCUUAGAAUUGGUUCUAAUGAGAAUGCCUGAAAGCCAGCUAAGUGGGUGUUGCCCUGACCAUAGGGCCCACCUUUAUGAUAUGUUGUAUAUCCACUUUGUCCAUUCAUUUUCCCAGCCUAUCUUAGGAUGUAGUUCUAAACAUUAAGUAUAUUCAAAUCUCAGAUGGACCACACAACAAGAAAUAGUGAUGAUUGAACGCAAAGCCCGUAAUGUUUACUUGCCAUCCAAAUUGUUGAUAAGGUUAACGAACUGGAUGAAGUGAAGAUACAAAGAUUAGUUUGAUCAAAGAGGCCAGGAAGAUGCUUAUUGAGUUCUACUUCACAGAUGAACACAGAAGGCCCAGUUCUUGAUAUGGCAGAUCUGCCAGUGGAAAGCAACGAUGUUGAAGAAAUGUUUGAUGAGAUAUAAGGAAGGCUACUGAGAUUAGUCUUGUGUUGCUAUUUAAUUUUCUAUUACAAAUUAUUUCAUUCUAUAAUAUUUGUAGUUUAAUCAUUUUGAAUAAUUCAUUCUAUAAUCAUUUGAUUUUAACCAUUUUGUUCUCUAAGAGGAACAAUAACUUGGAGGAUGAACUAUUUGAUUGCUCAAAUUUCACUCAUGACAUUUAGCUACUUGUUUCUUUUUGCCAAUUGUCUUUAUUUGAUGGAAGUGGUGUUCAUGUAUGUAGGGUAGUUGUGCUGCACCAAAAAUCAGGCCUUUCAAACUCUCAAGUGGGCUCCACCUGUUAGAUGGGCUACAAGUUGUCACUGGUCCAGGUUCAGUAUACACUCACGGCGCAUGCGAUGAGUGGUCUGGUAAGAGUUUACACAAAGCCACAGGGGCAACAACCUGAUUUUUCAGAUCCUGUAGUACUUUCCACGGUAGGUUGCACAUUCUUCUUGAAGAAAUAUACAAUGUGAACAUUUGCUUGGUCUGACAAACUGUAUGUAUGGGGAGCACUUUUGGUGAUCCAGAUGAUUUUGUGGUGGGCCCAUGGUGGAUGGAAGAUCUAUAGGUAUAUUGGAUCAGUUUUACAGACAUUGCUACUCCUCAUCAAACGACUUCCGCCAAAGGUUGGAUAUGCUAUGCUGAAAAAAACACUUGGCUCAUAUACUACCUUUAUUUCUUCUGUGAAGAUUCCACAACAAGCAAUUGGGGCAACCAUCAAGCAUCACAUUUGCCAAACAAAUGGGUCUAAUGCACAUGGUUGAAGCUUUCCAAUCCAUCUUGUAUAGGCACCUGGUUGAAGGUUUUCUCAUGAUGGGCUCCGAAUCUUUAUAUUUUUGUGGGAAAUAUUACAAGAAGGGACUUGCAUUAUCACAGAAGAAUGCCUAUUGAAUCCAAAUCGAAACCCAACAAUGAGUGAGGAACAAAUAGAGGAUGAACUGAAGAUGUAUCUUGGGGUCAAAAAGGAAUGUUUUCUCCAAUGAUGGUUCCAGGAUGCCAAAUACUACUGCACUCAGUGCAGUCCAGGCAUGUUCUUUUCAUCCUCUUUAUUCUUCACUUAAAUAAGGCCAUGUAUUCUAAUCGUGGUUUGAUUGCUUUUGUGGCAUCUUAUGCAUGUUAAAUGUACCAAAUGAAGACCAUUCAUCCGUGAUGAUGCCUCAAUGUAACUAACCAUGUAGACUAGCAUGACCCUAAUAAGAAGCUUGGGCUUUUUAAACAAUAAAAAUAAAACUAUUCUUUUCUUUUUCUUCUUUUUUCAUUUCCUGACCAUAGCAGCUUCUAAUGAAUCCAUGUAUAGAAACUACAAUACUCAGAUGCUUGUGAACUUGCACAUGCAAUGGAUGCACAGGU
RNA transcript from Magnolia sinica, 2051 nucleotides. RefSeq lists it as uncharacterized. The record is from RefSeq and is a predicted model, not a curated record. NCBI's taxonomy places the organism in Eukaryota, Viridiplantae, Streptophyta, Magnoliopsida, Magnoliales, Magnoliaceae. The transcript has 6 exons.